This 198-nucleotide ribosomal RNA is filed under the name Mycobacterium sp. BK558. RNAcentral's name for it is "partial 23S ribosomal RNA". It matches the Rfam family "Bacterial large subunit ribosomal RNA", at positions 2728 to 2925 of the family's 2925-position model. Lineage: Bacteria; Bacillati; Actinomycetota; Actinomycetes; Mycobacteriales; Mycobacteriaceae. The record is from RNAcentral.
ACCAGGGGCACCGCUGGAUAGCCACGUUCGGACAGGAUAACCGCUGAAAGCAUCUAAGCGGGAAACCCCCUCCAAGACCAGGCUUCUCACCCAUUCAAGUGGGAUAAGGCCCCCCGCAGACCACGGGAUCGAUAGACCAGACCUACAAGACCAGCAAUGGUCGCAGGGAACUGGCACUAACCGGCCGAAAACUUACAA